CUCCGUAGGGUGAACCUGCGGAGGGAUCAUUACACAAAUAUGAAGGCGGGCUGGAACCUCUCGGGGUUACAGCCUUGCUGAAUUAUUCACCCUUGUCUUUUGCGUACUUCUUGUUUCCUUGGUGGGUUCGCCCACCACUAGGACAAACAUAAACCUUUUGUAAUUGCAAUCAGCGUCAGUAACAAAUUAAUAAUUACAACUUUCAACAACGGAUCUCUUGGUUCUGGCAUCGAUGAAGAACGCAGCGAAAUGCGAUAAGUAGUGUGAAUUGCAGAAUUCAGUGAAUCAUCGAAUCUUUGAACGCACAUUGCGCCCUUUGGUAUUCCAAAGGGCAUGCCUGUUCGAGCGUCAUUUGUACCCUCAAGCUUUGCUUGGUGUUGGGCGUCUUGUCUCUAGCUUUGCUGGAGACUCGCCUUAAAGUAAUUGGCAGCCGGCCUACUGGUUUCGGAGCGCAGCACAAGUCGCACUCUCUAUCAGCAAAGGUCUAGCAUCCAUUAAGCCUUUUUUCAACUUUGACCUCGGAUCAGGUAUGAUCCAUCAC
This 541-nucleotide ribosomal RNA is filed under the name Alternaria azukiae. RNAcentral describes it as "eukaryotic LSU rRNA". The stretch from base 198 to 351 matches the Rfam family "5.8S ribosomal RNA". Lineage: Eukaryota; Fungi; Ascomycota; Dothideomycetes; Pleosporales; Pleosporaceae. The record is from RNAcentral.